Long non-coding RNA from Rhineura floridana, 779 nucleotides. RefSeq lists it as uncharacterized. The record is from RefSeq and is a predicted model, not a curated record. The transcript has 3 exons. NCBI's taxonomy places the organism in Eukaryota, Metazoa, Chordata, Lepidosauria, Squamata, Rhineuridae.
AGGGGGGGAGAGCAACGAGGGCUGUUCUUACGGCACGGCAUUCAUAAGACUAAAGACGACACCGACACUUUUUCCUCAGAUACUCAUGUUUACCCAAGCAUCACAAGUAGUACUAGUUUCACAGGAAUGUAAACAAAACAAAACAAAACCCUAUCCAGGAGGCUCCCAUAAACAAUGAAAAGCUCUCAGCCAUCACAUUCAUCUGCUUCACCGCUGUUGGAAAUAGAAGACUGCAUCAUGUUACCACCAGCAAGGUGCUGCUGUUCUUAUAGUUGCAUUGCUAGUUGGUUCAGCUCUUGGCCUCCUGAUAAUCGUAACUCACACUGAGGAAGACUUCACAUACCUCCUAAAAAAGGUAGCCAAGCUGGUCCAAAAGAAAACAACUCCAAAAUCCACAGUUGGACAAUAUAUUUAUUACGACCAACUAAACUGUCACAAAAUAGUGACAAGCUUUCAGCUUCUGUGGAAUGCUUCAUCAGGCAAGAUAUUACACAAAGCAGGAAGGGGAGAAUGAGAAAAAAUAAAUAGCUUUUCACUACCACCUUAUUUUCUCAAAUACUUUGAGAACCAAACUUUGUAAGAUUUUUUUACUGAACUAACAAUAUACUUGAGAAACACAACAGUAUGCUAUGAAUACAUAGCAAGUAUGAGUGAUUUGGACGUGCAUGAAAGACUAUGAGUAUUAGAAUAUGUGAUUAUCAUGUUUUUCAUAACAAUUCCACAGACCAACCUCGUUUGUGAUGCUUCACAGCCAUGAUUAGUUAAUUAAAACGUACAAU